RNAcentral lists this transfer RNA (86 nucleotides) under Arsenicicoccus piscis. RNAcentral describes it as "tRNA-Leu". The record is from RNAcentral. Lineage: Bacteria; Bacillati; Actinomycetota; Actinomycetes; Micrococcales; Intrasporangiaceae.
GUCUCCGGCGGCUCGGCGAUGCCAAGGUCCAGGGCCUUGUUGAUGAGCGACCAGCGCGGCAGGUCGUCCCAGUCGACCAGGGUCAC